RNAcentral lists this long non-coding RNA (757 nucleotides) under Cricetulus griseus (Chinese hamster). RNAcentral's name for it is "lncRNA (ENSCGRG00000024535.1)". The record is from RNAcentral. Lineage: Eukaryota; Metazoa; Chordata; Mammalia; Rodentia; Cricetidae.
AUUUAUGUAUGCGCACUUCUGUUGCUCUUGAGCCUUGUGCAGUGCUGUUGGCAGCUAGAGCCAGGAGCUACCUCCUUCAUGAGUCAGAUCAGUAGGUUCACACUGCCCUUCUUCCUCUUGAGAGAGAGGCAUCCCCAAUGAAACAGGAUGGAUAUUUUAAAGUUGGCAUCACAGAAGACUCAGUACUGGAUCUCAGCUGUCACAAAGAUGGUGUGGGUAUGGAGCAAAGUGGGACGCCAGGAGGAGCCAUGCUGUGGAUGGAGGAAGGAUGCAAGUGAAGCACAGCUUCAUAAUCACACAAGGCAUUCCAUCUAACAACAUCAUAUGCUGGUUCUCACUAACCAGUUCUACUUCACAGAAAAAGAAGGUAAUGCUGAAGAUCACACAGCCAAGGGCAGAAGAAUCAGAGGUCUCCCCAAACAGGAUGAUUGCCACUGGCCACUAAAGUGCACACUCAUCAAGAAGAUAAAAAAUGGCUGAGGAGAGGCUAGAGAGAUGGCUCAGUGGUUAAUAGCACUGGCUGUUCUUCCAGGGGACCUGAGUUCAAUUCCCAGUACCCACAUGGCAGCUCACAACUGUCUGUAACUCCAGUUCUAAGGGAUCUGGCACCAUUAACACAGACAUAUAUGUGGGUGAAACACCAUUGUGCAUAAAAUAAAAAUAAAUUAUUUUAAAAGAAAAAAUAAAUUAUUUUUUAAAAUGGACUCCAUUGGUGCUUGCUGCACAGCAUGAGCAACCAAGUUCCAUCCCACCACAC